Molecule: long non-coding RNA, 462 nt
Organism: Leptinotarsa decemlineata (Colorado potato beetle)
Lineage: Eukaryota; Metazoa; Arthropoda; Insecta; Coleoptera; Chrysomelidae
Gene: Cad99C
Source: RefSeq, a predicted model, not a curated record
UAAAGCACCUUCUACUACAAUCUACAUACCGGGACAGUCACCUGGCCAGGUCUUAGACACCGCUAUACUUUUCUUUCGUAGGUAGAGAGGUUAAACGACAGGUGUUUGCGUUGUCGAAGACGACCCUUUUUUAGUAAGAAUUCGGACGUGAGUGAAGUGCCAAUUUUGUGAUUGCGAAUUGUGCGAAGUGUCAGUUAUCGGUUUAUGAUAAUAAGUGAUGAGACAAGGGUUUUCGAAGGGAUUGGUGGGGUGUUUGUGGCAGAACUAGAUCGACUCUAUGGGAUUUUUCUUUUUUUCGGAUUUUGUUUGUCAGAAAGGAUUCCCGAAUGGCGUCCAUUUUUUGGAUAGCAAGCUCGAUAUGGUUACUGCUCUUUCUGCCAAAGACUGAAGCCCAAGGAUUAUGCGAAGUGGAAAACGGAGCAUCGAACAUCAUUUUAGAUAUCGAGGAAAGUAGAGGAACGU